This 219-nucleotide unclassified non-coding RNA is filed under the name fungal sp. RNAcentral describes it as "partial internal transcribed spacer region". The stretch from base 1 to 46 matches the Rfam family "Eukaryotic small subunit ribosomal RNA", at positions 1786 to 1831 of the family's 1831-position model. The record is from RNAcentral. Lineage: Eukaryota; Fungi.
AAGUCGUAACAAGGUAUCCGUAGGUGAACCUGCGGAUGGAUCAUUCAUGUGAGGACACACCCACUUAGCGUGCGUGUAAGUCCGCCUGUCUUGUGCAAUGUGCUGGAUGAUUGGCGUGUGUCUCUGUACCAUGCCAACAGCUUUUUAACUCAAUUUCAUACUAUUUUCUUACAACCAAAUGAACCUUGAAAACUGCCAGCAAUGGAUCCCUCGGUUCUC